Haliotis rubra (blacklip abalone) is the source of this 209-nucleotide long non-coding RNA. RefSeq lists it as uncharacterized. Lineage: Eukaryota; Metazoa; Mollusca; Gastropoda; Lepetellida; Haliotidae. The transcript is spliced from 3 exons. The record is from RefSeq and is a predicted model, not a curated record.
CUCGGUACGUUGUGCGUGAUAAUAUAUACAUGUACGUAGAUGAGGACGGUCACAAUCUGAGCAUGGGUGAGAUGUAUCGAUAUGAAGAUGUCUGCGAUGUCCUGCCCAUGUUUAGAAAUGUAUUUGUAACAACGCUCUGAAAAGUAUGUCCGUGAAAGUAAAAAUCAGGGCAGUACUCUGCUGUCUGUCAGUGCUGGGAUUUUUGGAAG